UACAGAGGAUGCAAGCGUUAUCCGGAUUUACUGGGCGUAAAGCGCACGUAGGCGGAUCGUUAAGUCGGGGGUGAAAUCCUGGAGCCCAACUCCAGAACUGCCUUCGAUACUGGCGAUCUUGAGUCCGGAAGAGGUGAGUGGAACUCCUAGUGUAGAGGUGGAAUUCGUAGAUAUUAGGAAGAACACCAGUGGCGAAGGCGGCUCACUGGUCCGGUACUGACGCUGAGGUGCGAAAGCGUGGGGAGCAAACAGG
Molecule: ribosomal RNA, 253 nt
Filed under: uncultured bacterium
Lineage: Bacteria
Description: partial 16S ribosomal RNA
Rfam family: Bacterial small subunit ribosomal RNA
Source: RNAcentral